CCUACGGGGGGCUGCAGUGGGGAAUAUUGGACAAUGGGGGGAACCCUGAUCCAGCCAUGCCGCGUGUGUGAAGAAGGCCCUCGGGUUGUAAAGCACUUUCAGUGAGGAAGAACGCCUGGUGGUUAAUACCCAUCAGGAAAGACAUCACUCACAGAAGAAGCACCGGCUAACUCCGUGCCAGCAGCCGCGGUAAUACGGAGGGUGCGAGCGUUAAUCGGAAUUACUGGGCGUAAAGCGCGCGUAGGUGGCUUGAUAAGCCGGUUGUGAAAGCCCCGGGCUCAACCUGGGAACGGCAUCCGGAACUGUCAAGCUAGAGUGCAGGAGGGGAAGGUAGAAUUCCCGGUGUAGCGGUGAAAUGCGUAGAGAUCGGGAGGAAUACCAGUGGCGAAGGCGGCCUUCUGGACUGACACUGACACUGAGGUGCGAAAGCGUGGGUAGCAAACAGGAUUAGAUACCCCUGUAGUC
RNAcentral lists this ribosomal RNA (465 nucleotides) under Vreelandella stevensii. Its description in RNAcentral is "partial 16S ribosomal RNA". It matches the Rfam family "Bacterial small subunit ribosomal RNA", at positions 338 to 795 of the family's 1533-position model. The record is from RNAcentral. Lineage: Bacteria; Pseudomonadati; Pseudomonadota; Gammaproteobacteria; Oceanospirillales; Halomonadaceae.